This 1386-nucleotide long non-coding RNA is filed under the name Triticum aestivum (bread wheat). RNAcentral describes it as "long non-coding RNA (TAES_LNC000604)". Lineage: Eukaryota; Viridiplantae; Streptophyta; Magnoliopsida; Poales; Poaceae. The record is from RNAcentral.
CUAGCAAAGAAGGCAUGGAGCAAAUGGAGACGGGGUUCCUUUGUGACAACGUAUGGGAGGCUGAUGGGUUCCCUUGGAAGUUGGAACAAUGCGAUGUUGCCGAGACAGCACACUGGGUUCCAAUUCCAGUUGGACGAAUAGUAUGUACGUGAUUCAUUCACUCUUUUGAUCAUUCCUUAUUGCACGUACUGCAGUUGGAGGAUAUACCAAUAUAAUGGAUGGAUCUACUAAAUAUUAACAUGUCAAGUACGACAGUACAUGCCAACUAACUGAGCUAUAUAUGGUGUGACACUGACGAUCUACGCGCUUCCUCCCUAAGUGUUGUUUGCUGACUGCCGGGCCUUCCGUCGGAUGUUGUGCGCAGAUAAUUUUGUGGGAAGUCUUACCGUCCCUAUUUCAUAGAAAAAAAAUCCAGGUAUGUUAUUUUCUGUAUUUUCAAAAAAAUGAUAAUGAUAUGAAGCUUAGAAGUCGUGUGUCAUGCUUUGGAAAUAAAACUUACAACCCCCAUAGUUCAGGACCUUACUGAACUUUGCGUGUCAUGUAUUUAUAACCGCAUUUGUUUCUCAAGCUUUAGUUAUUAAACUUUUCUCUAAAACUGCAGAGUAACCGUUCUGAAUAAUGAACUUUGCAUUGCAUGUGUUAAUCUUAAAAAACACAAAUUUGAGAAAUAUCAAAUGGAAGUUCACAACUAAUAGAAAAGUUUAGCUCUUACAAGAUGGUAGGGAUUUCAAAAGUUUUAGCUUCAUCUUUUGUUAUUACACCAUAUGUUAUGUCAGUAAAUUGAGUUAUAUGAUGAGCAUGGUCUUAUCUGUUCAGGUUGCUGAGUUUUGGCCUUAAGGUGCAGCAUUGAUAAGGAAAUUAUGCAUCUGUUGAGGUUACUGAUAUUUAACCAUCUCAUGUCUAUCAAUAGUGCAUACAUUAUGGUUGAUAAAAAUAUCUUGCCAUGUCAAAUGCAUAAUGUUGUAAUUCCUUCAUUCCAUAAUGUAGUGCACCCGCGCUUUUUUAGAUAAAGUUUGACCAUAAAUUUAACUAACGUGGUUAAAUUUAUGGUCAAACCUAAAUCUCGAAAAGCGCUGGCGCACUACGUUACGGAAUGGAGGGAGUAUAUGAUAAGUUUGGGUGUAGCUCUGUGUUAGUGCCAGUUGCUUAUUAUGCGCUUGACCUAUUGUAUCUUUUUACCAUGCAGAUUAAUUAAUUCAACCUGAGGAUAGACAUCCUCACUUCAGUUCAAAAUUAUCCAGAAGAAGUGUGAUUUCUAUUCCAUAUUCAUUGACUUUUCUAAGACCUAUUAGUAAAUUCAUUAGCUUCUUUAAUCCAGUGAUUCUGGGUAAACCGACGAAGAAUAUGAAUAUUACGUAUGUAUAUUACCCCUUCUUCUGUCAUUUU